GCCGAGAUGGCGAAAUGGUAGACGCGCACGUUUCAGGUACGUGUGGAGCAAUCCAUGGAGGUUCAAGUCCUCUUCUCGGCACAA
This 84-nucleotide transfer RNA is filed under the name Candidatus Collierbacteria bacterium CG09_land_8_20_14_0_10_46_12. RNAcentral describes it as "tRNA-Leu". It matches the Rfam family "tRNA". From Rfam's summary of the family: Transfer RNA (tRNA) molecules are approximately 80 nucleotides in length. Their secondary structure includes four short double-helical elements and three loops (D, anti-codon, and T loops). Further hydrogen bonds mediate the characteristic L-shaped molecular structure. tRNAs have two regions of fundamental functional importance: the anti-codon, which is responsible for specific mRNA codon recognition, and the 3' end, to which the tRNAs corresponding amino acid is attached (by aminoacyl-tRNA synthetases). tRNAs cope with the degeneracy of the genetic code in two manners: having more than one tRNA (with a specific anti-codon) for a particular amino acid; and 'wobble' base-pairing, i.e. permitting non-standard base-pairing at the 3rd anti-codon position. Lineage: Bacteria; Candidatus Collieribacteriota. RNAcentral also lists the same sequence under 1 other name. The record is from RNAcentral.